AAUGUGAUAUUGUUCCACCUGAUAUUCUAGUAGUGUAACAAUACUCCUGGGGUUAACAUGCUUCUAAUAGAUAAUCAUUGUGCUAGACUCAUCCUACCAGCACUGAUUAUCUGUUACACUGACGCCAUACCUACAAACUUAGAUUCUGAGCAGACCUUGGGAAGUUUACAAGAUCCAUACAAUCCAUCAAUAAAUCCUGUUAAGCCAUAUCAACCUCUAGAGGAUCCCCAUGAAUCCAUAUCUAAGGAUCAGGAAUCAGUUUCGGAUCCAUCAGAGUAUAAACUAACAGAUGAUGUUGCUCUUCUCGAAGAUUCUCUUUCUAAACUACAACAAGAAAACGAAGGACUAAAACAAGAUUCUUACAAAGGAAGACAGAUAACAGCUCCAGAUACCGACAAAACACUGGAAUCCACUUCAAAUCCGGAGAAAUAUGCACCUUAUCUUGAUCUAGAAUCCAAUAAACCGCCUAAUGAUGCGUUUAAAUACAUUGAAAAAACAUCAGGUUCGAAGGAAACCGAAGGAAUACUUUCAAGUGAGAUUCUUAAAAGCUCCAAUUUGUCGUCCGCAAACUUGGAUGAAUUGCCCAUUGAAGAAUUAGUUAGUUCCCUUCAACAACUGGAAAGUUUGGACACACCAAUUGCUGGAAAAGACAAAGCAAAAAAUGAAAAAGAAAAUGUCUAUUCUUCAAAAGAUAAUAGGGGGAUAGUAAAGGAAAGAGGUGAGAAAGAGAAUGAAAGAACUUUAAAUAAAGAAAGAGAAGAAGAAGAAAAACUGACAGAGGAUCUUAAAAGAACAGAAGAGGAGAUAAGAAGAGAAGAGGAUAGAUAUGAUACAACUGAAAACUCUAUACCUGUCGAACUGUGUAUGGAAAAUGAAGAAGAACAUAAAAAUGGAGAUUCUUGGAUGUGUUGUGACGGCUGCAACAAAUGCAAAUGUGUUGUUGACAGUAUUAUCUCAACUAAAAGAGCUUGUUCCCCAUACCUGAAUAAAUGCAAAACAAAAAUAAACAAAAAUGAAAUUAAUAAUUCUAAGUCAAUUGAGACUUAUUCAUCAACAUCAGAAAGUUAUAAUAGCGAGCAAGAGAAAAGACAAGGUGCUUUAAACAAUUAUGGGAAUUUCACAUAUCACGAAGAAAACGUCAAUGAGAACUCAAAUUCUGAGGAAGUUCACCGUGGGAAGAAUUGUAUUGAAAAUGGAGAACAGAAAGAAGAUGGGACGUCAUGGGAUUGUUGUGACGGUUGCAAUAGAUGUAAGUGUGCUGAUGGAAGAAUAAUCUCAACUGAAAGAGCUUGUUUUGCAAACCUUGAUAAAUGCAAAACCAAAAGAAAUCAAAAUGAAACCAUCAAUUACAUUUCAACUGAAUCAUACACCCCAACUUCAGAACGUUAUAGUCCUGAUAAGAUUAAAACUACUUAUGCCCCAACUACUGAAGAAGUUCAACUUAGUAAGGAUUGUAUUGAAAAUGGCGAAGUUAAAGAAGAUGGUUCAUCAUGGGAUUGUUGUGACGGUUGCAAUAGUUGUUCCUGCAAGGAUGGUCUGAUUGUGUCAACAAAACAGUUUUGUCCCCCCAGAUUAGGAAGAUGCAAUAAAAAAGUUUCUGAUGCACAAGAAAUUCCUACAACACUCCCCACUGGAAACCCUUACACAGUUGACGCAGAAAAGAAAGAAGUUCCAGAAAGUGAAAAGCUCUUUGAUGAAAUAUCCCACAUGGAGUCAGAUAUUGCAGAAAGUUUAGGAGCUAAACCUGUAAAUAUCACUAAAGUUAUAGACCAAUAUCAAAAUGCAACCAACAGCCCUAUUCCUGUUCAAAAUAAAGAGGGAGAAUACAGACAACCCAUUCAGCCAAACCUUCAGCAGACUGAUGUGUAUCCUCAUAAAAAUCAGAAAGAUCUUUUUGCUGAAAUAAAUAAUAUGCUUGAGAAUAUUAACAAAGAACAUGAAAAGAAUAUGGAGAGCAUCAAGAACACCAAUGCAUAUUCAGAGUUGGAAAAUCAAAUCAAUUCUUUAACCAAGCAAAGAGUUAAUGAACCAGAAGUCUAUGACCCAUCUAAUAUGACAAUUCAAUUGACAGCUGCAGAGGAGCAUUCAAGUAAACUGGACCAAGAAAACUCUUCAGAAACUCCUGAUAAACUGCUGGUGGAUAUAUCUACAGAUGAUGUUCAAGAUGUUGAUAAUGAUGGACAUACAUAUCAUCUUCAUCUUAAACAAAGAUUACUGAAAGAACUUGGAGACUCUGGAAAAAACUAUGUCAUCCACAUCAAGAUUCCAGAAAAAUAUGACUUUAACAACAACAAGAAUAUAUAUCAUUUUAACUUUCCACCAAUUCUUCGUAAUACCCCAAACUCAGAAGACAAUCAGACAUAUCCACCAGUGGGUCCUGUUGAAGCAAAACAAUACCCUCACGGCAGUCCUAGUCAAGUUAAACAGUAUCCUCCAACUGGUCCUGCUGAAACAAAACAAUAUCCUCCACCUGGUCCUGGUGAAGAAAAACAAACUCUUUCAGCUGGUUCUGGUGAAGUUAAAGAAUAUCCUCCAGCUGGUCCUGGUGAUGUGCAACAAUAUCCACCAGCAGGUUCUGCUGAAGUUAAAGAAUAUUCUCCAACUGGUCCUGGCGAAAUUAAACAAUAUUCACCAGCUGGUCCUGCUGAAGUUAAAAAAUAUUCUCCAGCUGGUCCUGGUGAAGUUAAAGAAUAUCCACCAGCUGGUCCUGCUGAAGUUAAAGAAUAUCCUCCAGCUGGUCCCAGUGAUGUGCAACAAUAUCCACCAGCAGGUUCUGCUGAAGUUAACCAAUAUUCUCCAGCUGAUCCUGGCGAAGUUAACCAAUAUCCACCAGCUGGUCCUGCUAAAGUUAAAGAAUAUUCUUCAGCUGGUCCUGGUGAAGUUAAAAAAUAUCCACCAGCUGGUCCUGAUGAAGUGAAACAAUAUCCACCAGCAGGUCCUGCUGAAGUUAAAGAAUAUUCUCCAGCUGGUCCUGUUGAAGUUAAACAAUAUCUGCCAGCAGCUCCUGGUGAAUUUAAAGAAUAUCCACCCGCUGGUCCUAGUGAAGUUAAAGAAUAUCCACCAGCUGGUCCUGCUGAAGUUAAAGAAUAUUCUCCAGCUGGUCCUGGUGAAGUUAAACAUUAUCUACCAGCAGGUCUUGGUGAAGUUAAAGAAUAUCCACCAGCUGGUCCUAGUAAAGUUAAAGAAUAUCCACUAGCUGGUCCUAGUGAAGUUAAAGAAUAUCCACCAGCUGGACCCGGUGAAGUUAAAGAAUAUAUGCCAGCUGGACCUAGUGAAGUCAAAGAAUAUCCCCCAACUGGACCUGGUAAAGUUAAAGAAUAUCCAUCAGCUGGACCUGGUGAAGUUAAAGAAUAUCCACCUACCGGACCUGGUGAAGUUAAGGAAUAUCCAUCAGCUGGACCUGGUGAAGUUAAAGAAUAUCCACCUACCGAACCUGGUGAAGUUAAAGAAUAUCCAUCAGCUGGACCUGAUGAAGUUAAAGAAUAUCAACCAACUGGUCCUGGUGAAGUUAAAAAAUAUCCUGUAGCUGGUCCAGGUGAAGUUAAAUACUAUCCACCAGCUGGUUCUGGUGAAGUUAAAGAAUAUCCUUCAGCUGGUCCUGAUAAAGUAAAACAAUAUCCACCAGCUGGUCCUGAUGAAAAAAAGGAAUAUCCACCAACUGGUACUGCCAAAAAUAAAGAACAUUCAUCAGCUGGUCCAGGUGAGGUAAACGAAUAUCCACUAAUUGGUUCUGAUGAAGAGAAAAGAUAUCCAACAGUCGGUCCAAAUGAUAAUAGGAAAUAUCCUCCGAUACCUGAUUUACAAAUAGAAGCAACUUUACCCCCUUCUACUCCAGCUUUGGUUCCAGUGGACCUCGAUAAUCAACCAAUUAGAGAUUGAUCCAGAAACCCCUCCUCCUAUUCAAAAAGGGUUGAAUUAACAGCGACUUUUUAAAUGAAUUUCUGCAAGUGGAUGAGUUUGCCAGCUGCUAAAAAAAAGUUUAAAUGUUGAAAAUGUUAAAAUUUAAAGUUAAAAUUAAAUAAAAAUAGUUCAAUGUUUAUUUUAAAUAUUUUUUCAGUGAACGUUAAAGAUUAAUUUACAACCAUUCAUGGCCUUGGUCAAGGGUUGAG
This 4109-nucleotide unclassified non-coding RNA is filed under the name Eurytemora carolleeae. RNAcentral's name for it is "uncharacterized LOC111697346". Lineage: Eukaryota; Metazoa; Arthropoda; Copepoda; Calanoida; Temoridae. The record is from RNAcentral.